GACGAACGCUGGCGGCGUGCUUAACACAUGCAAGUCGAACGGUGAAGCGCCUUCCUUUUUGGCGGGUGUGGAUGAGUGGCGGACGGGUGAGUAACACGUGAGUAACCUUCCCCCUUCUUCUGGAUAACCGCGUGAAAGUUUGGCUAAUACGGGAUAUUCUGGGUCUGUCGCGUGAUGGGUUUGGGUAGGAUAUUGUUUCGGUAGGGGCUGGGCUCGCGGCCGAUCCGUUUGUGGUUUGGGUGGUUGCCUACCAAGGCGGUGACAGGUCGCCGGCCUGAGAGGGUGGACGGUCACACUGGGACGGAGACACGGCCAAGACUCCUACGGGACGCAGCAGUGGGGAAUAUUGCACGAUGGGCGGAAGAAUGUUGCAGCGACGCCGCGAGAGUGAUCGAGGCCUUCGGGGUGUGAACCUCUUGCGCCAGUGAAGCAGGCCUGCCUUGUUUGUGGUGGUGUUGACGGUAGCUGGAUAAGAAGCUCCGGCUAACUACGUG
RNAcentral lists this ribosomal RNA (494 nucleotides) under uncultured bacterium. RNAcentral's name for it is "partial 16S ribosomal RNA". It matches the Rfam family "Bacterial small subunit ribosomal RNA", at positions 28 to 507 of the family's 1533-position model. The record is from RNAcentral.